RNAcentral lists this ribosomal RNA (187 nucleotides) under uncultured eukaryote. Its description in RNAcentral is "partial 18S ribosomal RNA". It matches the Rfam family "Eukaryotic small subunit ribosomal RNA", at positions 1299 to 1458 of the family's 1831-position model. The record is from RNAcentral.
UGGUGGAGCGAUUUGUCUGGUUAAUUCCGAUAACGAACGAGACUCUAGCCUACUAAAUAGCCGAGACCGUCGGGGCGGGUUUCAAAACUCGUUCCAGGUCAUCCGGUAUCCUUUGGCUACCGGCGACAAAUCAGUAUCUUCUUAGAGGGAUCCGCGCCUUUCAGGCGCCCGAGAUUGAGCAAUAACA